CUGAGAUUACAGGCAUGAACCACCGCGCCCUGCCAGCAGGUGCAUUUGAUUUAUUUUUAUUUUUUGAGACGGAGUCUCGCUCUGUCACCCAGGCUGGAGUGCAAUGGUACAAUCUCGGCUCACUGCAACUUCCACUUCCUGAGUUCAAGUGAUUCUCCUGCCUCAGCCUCCUGAGUAGCUGGGAUUACAGGCACGUGCCACCAUGCCCGCCCGGCUACUUUUUGUAUUUUUAGUAGAGAUGGAGCUUUGCUAUGUUGUUCAGGCUGGUCUCGACCUCCUGACCUUGUGAUCUGCCUGCCUCAGCCUCCCAAAGUGCUGGGAUUACAGGUGUGAGACACUGUGCCUGGCCCAGCAGGCGCAUUUUAAAAGAGCUUUUAACUCUCUGGACAAUCCCAGGAGGUAGGCAGCAUCUCUGUAUGGUCCUCAAUUUAUACAGAAAGAAACGGAGGCCCUGAGGGUGGUUCUGAGCCUAGCCUGAGGUCACAUGGCCCAGGAACGUCCACUGUGGCAUCAGGUCUGAGCUUGGGGCCUGUGCGGCCAACCACUUCCCCAUUCAGUGACAUCAGCCAGCAGUCCUCUGGGCCUCUGUGACAACCAUGCUUCCCUUUUCUGUGUUGUCUUCCUUCUGCACAGGGAGGUGCUUGAGGGCUGGGGCACUGGCUGGUGUAGCUUUGGGUCCUUGUCACCCAGUGCAGUGUGCCUGUCACCCAGGGCAGUUAGUGCUGACCAAAUGCGUAUGGAGAGGGUGGAGGCAUCUUCAAGGGGUGGGGAUCAGGUGACGAUCAUUUUCAGUAGAGAUGGGGUUUCACCGUAUUGGCCAGGUUUUUUGUUUUGUCUUUUUUUUUUGAGACAGGCUCUCUCUCUGUCACCCAGGCUGGAGUACAGUGGUGCAAUCACAACUCACUGCAGCCUCAGUUGCCACCUGAGGGCUCAAUUGAUUCUCCCACCUCAGCCUCAAAAUGUGCUGGGAUUACAGUCAUGAGCCACUGUGCCUGGCCCAAUCAUGCCUUUAUAAUGAAGCCCAUAAAAACCCAAAAGGGAUGCAGAGGGCUUCUGGAUAACUGAACUCAUGGAGCUUCCUAGAGGGUGCAGUGCCUAGAGAAGACACGGAAGCUUUGCACCCCUUCCCCCAGGCCUCCCUCUGUGUAUCUCUUAUAUCUGGCUGUUCAUAACUAUCCUUUGUAAUAUCCUAUAUCUUUAUUUUGAGACGGGGUCUCGCUAUGUUGCCCAGGUUGGUCUCAAACUCCUGUGCUCAAGUGAACCUCCCCCCUCAACCUCCUGAAGCACAGAGAUUACAGGCAUGAGCCAUGGCGCCAGGCCCUAUAAUAUCCUUUAUAAGGGGACACAUGUAAGUAAAGGGCUUCCCUGAGUUCUAGGUACCAUUCUAGAAAAUUAAUUGAACCCAAGGAGGGGAUCAUGGGAACCUCAAUUUUUAUAGCCCUGUGUCAGAAGCACAGGCACCACGUGAGCUUGCGACUGGCAUCUGAUGCUGGGGCAGCCUUGUGGAACUGAGCCCUCAACCCGUGCGAUCACAGGAAGCAGCCAAUUUGCUGUAGUAGCCGUGGCCAACACACUGUCUCUGACAGUGUUCUUGCCCCUGCCCACUCCUUCUUAACGAUUCCCUCUCAGCCAGGCAUGGUGGCUCACGCCUGUAAUUGCAGCUAUUUGGGAGACUGAGGCUGGAGGAUUGCUUGAGCCCAGGAGUUUGAGACCAGCCUGGACAACUUGGUGAAACUCCAGUACCACUAAAAAAUACAAACAUUAGCUGAGUGUGGGGGUGCACGCCUGUAAUCCCAACUACUUGGGAGGCUGAGGCAUGAGAAUGGCUUGAACCCAGGAGGCAGAGGUUGCAGUGAGCAGAGA
Molecule: long non-coding RNA, 1863 nt
Filed under: Homo sapiens (human)
Lineage: Eukaryota; Metazoa; Chordata; Mammalia; Primates; Hominidae
Description: HSALNT0126380
Source: RNAcentral